Arachis duranensis is the source of this 786-nucleotide long non-coding RNA. RefSeq lists it as uncharacterized. NCBI's taxonomy places the organism in Eukaryota, Viridiplantae, Streptophyta, Magnoliopsida, Fabales, Fabaceae. The transcript has 3 exons. The record is from RefSeq and is a predicted model, not a curated record.
CAUUAAAAACAAUCUAGAAAUCAGCAGAACUAUCGGAGAAUCUUCUCCGCACACUAAAAGUUACAGUCACAAAAUUCUACGUUUUGGGAUGGUGCCAACAAACGAUUGCUUCAUCAAUCAGCUUGUUUACUGUCUUCACCACAUUGUCUAACAUGAGUUCUUUGCAUUCGCCUUCCCUGUCCUGGCUGCCGGUGCUCCCAUCUUGCACAAUGCUGAAUGGAAUGUUGAGCCUGAAAAGAGCUUCUGAAGUAUUGAGGAAUGAUCGGUUUGCGACUAAGAUCCUCUUCAGGCGGAUUUCGCUUUCUGUUAGUGGCUUUUGUGUUCUCUUUGCAUAUAUAUUUUGAUUUUUAUGUGGGUGAGGCUUAUCUAUACAUGGUGUAGCAGAUGAUGCAAUUUAUGCACUUAUAUGCUCACCAUUUGUUGUAUUUAAUGCAAGUUCACCACGCUUGAAUCCUUCAUUUGCUACCACAGGAGCAGCAUGAUCCUGCAACAAAUCAACAUGUUUCAUUGUUACUUGAAAUAAAAUAAACUUGUGUUAUUCUACUUCAAUUUCUGGACAAAGCUCCUGUUACUAUAUAUUUUGCUUCAUUGUAUGAGACUGUUUUAGAUCAUAAUUUAAAGAGCAAUGCUAGGGGGCCAGCAACUUUUGUGAUUGGUAGCCAGCAAAUAACCAUCAAUGAUGAUUUAAUGGUGUGAGAUUGGUGUGAGAUUUCAUCCAAUGACUCACAUUUCUCUGCUGGUUACAUGCUGGCCAAAAUUCAACAAAACUGCUGGUCCCCUAGACUU